CGAAAGCCUGACGGAGCAAUACCGCGUGAGGGAGGAAGGCUCUUGGGUUGUAAACCUCUUUUCUCAGGGAAGAACACAAUGACGGUACCUGAGGAAUAAGCAUCGGCUAACUCCGUGCCAGCAGCCGCGGUAAUACGGAGGAUGCAAGCGUUAUCCGGAAUUAUUGGGCGUAAAGCGUCCGCAGGUGGCAUUUCAAGUCUGCUGUCAAAGGUCAGGGCUCAACCCUGAACAGGCAGUGGAAACUGAACAGCUAGAGUGCGGUAGGGGCAGAGGGAAUUCCCAGUGUAGCGGUGAAAUGCGUAGAGAUUGGGAAGAACACCGGUGGCGAAAGCGCUCUGCUAGGCCUGCAACUGACACUCAUGGACGAAAGCUAGGGGAGCG
Molecule: ribosomal RNA, 381 nt
Filed under: uncultured cyanobacterium
Lineage: Bacteria; Bacillati; Cyanobacteriota
Description: bacterial SSU rRNA
Rfam family: Bacterial small subunit ribosomal RNA
Source: RNAcentral